AAAGUCGUAACAAGGUCUCCGUUGGUGAACCAGCGGAGGGAUCAUUAUCGAGUUAUUCAACUCCCAAACCCUAUGUGAACUUACCACUUGUUGCUUCGGCGCGCGCUUCGGCGCCGCCGAGGACACUUAAACUCUUUGUUUUUAUAAGCAUUUCUGAGUGGCCGAAAGGCAAAAAUACAAAUGAAUCAAAACUUUCAACAACGGAUCUCUUGGUUCUGGCAUCGAUGAAGAACGCAGCGAAAUGCGAUAAGUAAUGUGAAUUGCAGAAUUCAGUGAAUCAUCGAAUCUUUGAACGCACAUUGCGCCCGCCAGCAUUCUGGCGGGCAUGCCUGUUCGAGCGUCAUUUCAACCCUCGAGCCCGACUCUUUUGAGGACGGCUCGGCGUUGGGGGACGGCAGACUCCCCCCGGCAUCUCGCCGGGGACGCCGCCCCCGAAAUCUAGUGGCGGCCCUCCGAGGCGACCUCUGCGUAGUAACUUGUUCUCGCACCGGAAAGCUCAGAGCGGCCACGCCGUAAAACCCCAACUUUUUUCAGGUUGACCUCGAAUCAGGUAGGACUACCCGCUGAACU
RNAcentral lists this ribosomal RNA (570 nucleotides) under fungal sp. HU15. Its description in RNAcentral is "eukaryotic LSU rRNA". The stretch from base 190 to 343 matches the Rfam family "5.8S ribosomal RNA". Lineage: Eukaryota; Fungi. The record is from RNAcentral.